Homo sapiens (human) is the source of this 670-nucleotide RNA transcript. It is a transcript of the gene named MFF pseudogene 3, with no coding region annotated. Lineage: Eukaryota; Metazoa; Chordata; Mammalia; Primates; Hominidae. The transcript has a single exon. The record is from RefSeq and is marked validated.
GGCACUAAAACCACCGCUUCAUAUACUUUAAGUGGAAGACCACCAGAUUUUCAGGAUUUAGAAAGACCUCCUUCAACCCUUCAAAAUGAAGAAAUCUGUGCAUUUGGCAAGCUAAAAAGAGACUGCUCUUUGAGUGAAAAUGUUGUUGGCCAAAAUAGACGUUGAUCAGGAGUGAUUUCAUCGUGACACCAUCACCAUAAGAAGCUGUCUUCCCAACAUGUUACCCGAAAAUAGAACUAAUCUUUCCUCUGUUCAUGGCAUUCUGUCAUUUAUCCAGUCUUCUACUCGUAGGGCUUACCAGCAUAUCGUGGAUGAGAUGGGUGAAAAUCGCAGACCUGUGCAGUAUGGCAGGUCUGCUGCUACCACUUCUAAUCCGCAUCGUGACAACAUCAGGUAUGGCACUUCAAACAUAGAUACAAGUGAAGGAACUUCGGAUGACAUGACUGUUGCAGAUGCAGCUUCGUUAAGACGACAGAUAAUCAAACUAAAUAGACGCUUGCAACAUCUAGAAGAGGAGAACAAGGAACGUGCCAAGAGAGAAAUGGUCAUGUAUUCAAUUACCAUAGGAUUGUGGCUGCUUAGUAACUGGCUCUGGUUUCGCCGCUAGAGGUAACUUCAGCUCUUAAACAUACUGCCUCAACAGCUAGAAAUAUAGAGAACUUGCAAACUU